Molecule: long non-coding RNA, 289 nt
Organism: Gossypium arboreum
Lineage: Eukaryota; Viridiplantae; Streptophyta; Magnoliopsida; Malvales; Malvaceae
Exons: 2
Source: RefSeq, a predicted model, not a curated record
GAAAAAGGGGUGAAAAGAACAAAGUUUUGUCCAUCUUUGUUCAUCAUAGCUGAAAGUUAGAGAAGAGAAAGGAGAAGAGAAAGCUCUUGAGUGUUCGGUCACUUGGGGAAGAAAAUUGAAGGUAAUCCCCAACCAUAGUGGGCUUGGAGCUGUGAGGGAAUUCGGAGUGGCCACCUAUUCUGAAAGUUUGAUUUUCUUCUGGUGAACUGGACAUCCUUUUAUUUACGUUUGAAGUUUUGGGUUUUUAAAUGUAAUAAGGCCGCUUAUUUAUUUUUGAUGGUUUUUUUUA